ACAUCCAUACCAUGGAAUACUACUCAGCAAUAAAAGGGGAAUGCACUAUUAUUGAUACAUAAAAAAGGUUGGAUGGAUCUCAAGGGCAUUAUGCCGAGUGGAGACAAAAAGCCAAUCUCAAAAGGUCACAUGCUGAAUGUUAUGUAACAUUCUCAAAAUGACAAAAUUAUAGAGUCAGGAACAGAUAAGUAGUUGCAAGUUAGGGAUGGUGGGAGGGAAGGAGGUAGUGUGACUACAAAGGGGUAGCACAAAGGAAACCUUUAACGUAUGAACCAGUUCUGAAUCUUGACUGCAGUUGUGGUUUCAGGAAUCUACAUACAUGAUAAAAUAGCAAAAAAGUAUACACAUACAUUGCACCAAUGUCAGUUUCCUGGAUUUGACAUAGUACUAUACUGAUAUAAGACAUAACUGUCAGGGAACACUACAUUGGACCUCCUUGUGUUAUCUUUUCAACUUCCUGUGACUCUAUAAUUAUUUCAAAAUAAAUUAAAGAGAGAAAGAGAGAGGGAAAGAGCGAGGGAGAGUGAAAGGGAGUGAGCAAGAGAGCAGACGCACUCUUUCUGACCUUGCAGAAGCAAACAGUCCUCUUAGGAACUGCUUGUGGAAGGGGCCAUGUGGCAAUGACCUCAGAGUGCAGCCUCUAGGAGCUGAGACUACCCCCUGGCCAAGAGCCAGCAAGAAAAUGGGGCCUUAAGGUCUAUAAUUGCAAGGAACUGAAUUCUGCCAACAACCAGUGAGCUUAGAAGAGGACCCCAAGUUUCAGAUGCCAUUGCAGUCCUGUGAAUACCUUGAUUUCAACCUAGUAAGACCCUGAGCAGAGGGCCAGCUAAAAUGUGCCCAGACUUCUGAUGCAUGGAAACCAUGAGAUAAUAACUUUGUGUUGUUUUAAGUCAUUAAAUGUAUGGUAAUUUGUUAUGCAGCAAUAGAUAACUAAUGCACAGCCCCAGGGGUAAGAUACCAUUGAACAACUGGGAGCUUUGCUUCCAGGAGCCACAGUUGGGACCUACCCAUUCUGACAAAAGAAACCAGCAACAACAGGAGGGAGGAGCCAGUCUCGGAGUUGAAACAGAUGCUCGUGGUCUUUCCCCCAAAAAAAAAAAAAAAA
This 1105-nucleotide long non-coding RNA is filed under the name Macaca fascicularis (crab-eating macaque). RNAcentral describes it as "lncRNA (ENSMFAG00000054327.1)". The record is from RNAcentral. Lineage: Eukaryota; Metazoa; Chordata; Mammalia; Primates; Cercopithecidae.